Molecule: ribosomal RNA, 330 nt
Filed under: uncultured eukaryote
Lineage: Eukaryota
Description: partial 18S ribosomal RNA
Rfam family: Eukaryotic small subunit ribosomal RNA
Source: RNAcentral
CCCUUAGAUGUUCUGGGCCGCACGCGCGCUACACUGAUGCAUUCAACGAGUCUAAAACCUGGUCUGAUAGGGCUGGGUAAUCUUUUGAAUGUGCAUCGUGAUUGGGAUAGAUGACUGCAAUUCUUCAUCUUCAACGAGGAAUGCCUAGUAAACGCAAGUCAUCAGCUUGCAUUGAUUACGUCCCUGCCCUUUGUACACACCGCCCGUCGCUCCUACCGAUUGAAUGUUCCGAUGAAUACCAUGGACUGAGAGUAUGAAUGGGUUCGCCUAUUUCUGCUUCUCGGGAAGUGGAGUAAAUCUUAACAUUUAGAGGAAGGAGAAGUCGUAACA